This 45-nucleotide non-coding RNA is filed under the name Schistosoma margrebowiei. The record is from RNAcentral. Lineage: Eukaryota; Metazoa; Platyhelminthes; Trematoda; Strigeidida; Schistosomatidae.
AUCUAGCUGACGAGUCCCAAAUAAGACAGAACACAUGUCUUGGAU